RNAcentral lists this ribosomal RNA (377 nucleotides) under uncultured bacterium. Its description in RNAcentral is "bacterial SSU rRNA". It matches the Rfam family "Bacterial small subunit ribosomal RNA", at positions 523 to 898 of the family's 1533-position model. The record is from RNAcentral.
AUACGGAGGGUGCGAGCGUUGUUCGGAAUUACUGGGCGUAAAGCGCGCGCAGGCGGAUGUGCAAGUCGAAGGUGAAAUCCCGGGGCUCAACCCCGGGACUGCUCUCGAUACUGCAUGUCUAGGGACCGGUAGAGGUCGGUGGAAUUCCCGGUGUAGCGGUGGAAUGCGUAGAUAUUGGGAGGAACACCUGUGGCGAAGGCGGCCGACUGGGCCGGAUCCGACGCUGAGGCGCGAAAGCGUGGGGAGCAAACAGGAUUAGAUACCCUGGUAGUCCACGCCGUAAACGAUGGGUGCUAGAUGCUGGGGGGAGCGACCCCUUCGGUGUCGUAGCUAACGCAUUAAGCACCCCGCCUGGGGAGUACGGCCGCGAGGCUGAA